Molecule: ribosomal RNA, 301 nt
Filed under: uncultured bacterium
Lineage: Bacteria
Description: partial 16S ribosomal RNA
Rfam family: Bacterial small subunit ribosomal RNA
Source: RNAcentral
CAGCCGCCGCGGUAACACGUAGGGCGCAAGCGUUAUCCGGAAUUAUUGGGCGUAAAGAGCUCGUAGGCGGUUUGUCGCGUCUGCCGUGAAAGUCCGGGGCUCAACCCCGGAUCUGCGGUGGGUACGGGCAGACUAGAGUGAUGUAGGGGAGACUGGAAUUCCUGGUGUAGCGGUGAAAUGCGCAGAUAUCGGGAGGAACACCGAUGGCGAAGGCAGGUCUCUGGGCAUUAACUGACGCUGAGGAGCGAAAGCAUGGGGAGCGAACAGGAUUAGAUACCCGAGUAGUCCCUGUCUCUUAUAC